UCCACCCUUCCCUGUUGUUUAUAGGAAACGUCUUCGCACUCACUUGCACGAGCGCAAUAUUUCUCAAGCACGUCAAAAACAGGCUUUCUUUUGGGAGAAUAUAACGACGUAUUUAACAGUCCCUCAGUGGUAUGUGUGGAGGAAUUUGAUAAAUAUUACAAAACACAAUUUAAAUAAGAUCAUCCCCUCUAAUCUGCUCACUAACAAUUCAGUCCGAUAAGUGGCGGUAAUGCGGCAGGAUCCUGGUUGUUAACCGCCAUUCACCUCAAAGACGAUGAAGAAAGUUGUUUGCGGAAGCGAUGGUGAAAUCUGGCAAACUCAUGUCAUGUGAUGGCGCGAGCGACUAAACUGAGAUGGAGGCAUUAGCGAACACCCGCAACCAAACGAUGGAAGAAAUCAAAGAUUCUCCAGACUAUAACUGGUUCAGAAGCACAGUUCCUCUAAAAAGAAUUAUUGUUGAUGAUGAUGACAGCAAAGUGUGGUCCUUGUAUGAUGCAGGCCCGAAGAGCAUCAGGUGCCCUAUCAUGUUCCUUCCGCCUGUCAGUGGAACUGCAGAAGUGUUCUUCCAACAGAUGUUGGCUUUGACAGGCUGGGGCUACAGAGUAAUAUCUCUUCAGUAUCCAGUGUACUGGGAUCUCAUGGAGUUCUGUGAUGGAUUUAGGAAGCUUCUCGAUCACUUGCAGUUAGAUAAAGUUCAUCUUUUUGGUGCAUCCUUGGGUGGCUUCCUGGCCCAGAAGUUUGCAGAGUUCACUUGCAAGUCCCCCAGGGUGCACUCUUUGAUACUGUGUAAUUCAUUCAGUGAUACCUCCAUCUUUAACCAGACAUGGACAGCGAACAGUUUUUGGUUGAUGCCAGCUUUCAUGUUGAAGAAGAUUGUUCUCGGGAAUUUUGCUAAAGGACCAGUCGACCCAGAAAUGGCCGGUGCGAUUGACUUCAUGGUUGAUAGGCUGGAGAGCCUAAACCAGAGAGAGCUGGCAUCCAGGUUAACGCUAAACUGUCAGAACUCUUAUGUGGAGCCACAUAAAAUAAAGGAGGUUGCUGUGACUAUUAUAGAUGUUUUUGAUCAGAGUGCACUCUCUUUAGAAGCAAAGGAAGAGAUGUAUAAAUUGUUUCCAAAUGCCAAACGAGCUCAUCUCAAAACUGGUGGAAACUUCCCGUACCUUUGCCGAAGUGCUGAUGUAAACCUCUACAUACAGGUUAGGAGACUGACCGGGCCACUCCAUAACUUGAAUGUGCUUCCUCAUCUAUUGCCCUAGAUGUUUCUUUGGUCACAUUUCUAGAAAUGAAUAAGGAGAUUGACAUUGCACUAGAUUCAUUUGCAUCAGUUCCAUGGAACACGGUAUGCUGCCAUUGACCCGGGUAUGGUGAGUGUUGAGGAACUGGAGGUCCAGGAGUGCCACCUGAAAACAUGCCAAGAAUCUGACGAAGACCAAUGACAAGCAUUUUGGAGCGCUGCAAAAAUUUAACUGAACCUUUUUGAUUAAAAAUGAAAUUGAUCAUAAAACAUUUUGUCUAUGUAUAUUGUCAGUCAUCUAGUUCAGGGGUCCCCAACCCCCAGGCCGUGGACUGGUACCGGUCCGUGGAUCAUUUGGUACCAGGCUGCACAAGAAAGAAUAAAUUACUUGCAUUAUUUCCAUUGUA
Molecule: RNA transcript, 1641 nt
Organism: Syngnathus acus (greater pipefish)
Lineage: Eukaryota; Metazoa; Chordata; Actinopteri; Syngnathiformes; Syngnathidae
Gene: spg21
Gene name: SPG21 abhydrolase domain containing, maspardin
Exons: 10
Source: RefSeq, a predicted model, not a curated record